This 438-nucleotide ribosomal RNA is filed under the name uncultured Alteromonadales bacterium. Its description in RNAcentral is "bacterial SSU rRNA". It matches the Rfam family "Bacterial small subunit ribosomal RNA", at positions 35 to 477 of the family's 1533-position model. The record is from RNAcentral. Lineage: Bacteria; Pseudomonadati; Pseudomonadota; Gammaproteobacteria; Alteromonadales.
GCUGGCGGCAUGCUUAACACAUGCAAGUCGAACGGAAACGAUGGGAGCUUGCUCCCAGGCGUCGAGUGGCGAACGGGUGAGUAAUGCUUAGGAAUCUGCCCAAUAGUGGGGGACAACCCGGGGAAACCCGGGCUAAUACCGCAUACGCUCUACGGAGGAAAGCAGGGGAUCUUCGGACCUUGCGCUAUUGGAUGAGCCUAAGUCGGAUUAGCUUGUUGGUGGGGUAAAGGCCUACCAAGGCGACGAUCCGUAGCUGGUCUGAGAGGACGAUCAGCCACACUGGGACUGAGACACGGCCCAGACUCCUACGGGAGGCAGCAGUGGGGAAUAUUGGACAAUGGGCGCAAGCCUGAUCCAGCAAUGCCGCGUGUGUGAAGAAGGCCUGCGGGUUGUAAAGCACUUUCAGUAGGGAGGAAAUACUUAAGGUUAAUACCCUUA